RNAcentral lists this long non-coding RNA (1834 nucleotides) under Homo sapiens (human). RNAcentral's name for it is "HSALNT0232545". Lineage: Eukaryota; Metazoa; Chordata; Mammalia; Primates; Hominidae. The record is from RNAcentral.
CCUCAGUGAUGUGGCUUCUUCCACGGGAGAGCACUGAACUGUGAGCCACAGUGGCCCCAUCUGGUGGCUGUCCUGCCUACUUCCCAGCCUCGUGAUCUUGGGCAAGUCAAUUCCCAUCUCUGAGCCUCAAUUUCCUCAUCCCUCUCCUGGGCUGUGGUGGAGAUGACAGGGUCCAGUGGUCAGGAAGCAGGCUGACGGCUGCAAAAGACUUAUCUCUUCCCCCCACAACCAUCCUCACCAGAAUUUUGGCCAGAAACAAGAGGAGUCCUGUCCGAGGAGAGCCCGGCUGGCUGACUGGAAUCCCAAGACAUGCCAAGGUCCCUGGGAAAUGACAGGACACCCAGAUCUGCUGGGAGCAGAGUUCUCAUAGGGUCCCAGCUGAGCCCUGGAACUCCCCAGACCCCCUCUGCCACUCCAUCUCUGCGUCAGCCCAGCACCUGUGCCCUAUCCGGCUUUGGCCACCAUCUCCACCCUGGGGAGGGGGAGCAUAACCCCCUCCAGCCUGAGGUUGGCGCCAAGGUUUAGGAGCCAGCACAGAAGCCUCUGAGAGCCAUAAGGGUAGAAAAGGUUACCCGGUACUAAACCAGCCAGCCUCGGGGUGAUCUCAUCCACUUCCCAAGAUAAGCCCCCUCCCCCACCCUCUGGCCACUGGCCAACAGGUUAACAGAGAGACUCCCUCACUGGAAGCAACUCAGAGUGGCUGAAGCACAGAAGUGGUAGAGAGACAGGUCUCUAUUGCUCAGGCUGGAGUGCAGUGGCAUGAUCAUAGCUCACUGUAACCUCAAACUCCUGGGUUCAAGCGAUCCUUCUGCCUCAGCCUCCCAAGUGGCUGGAACUACAGGGGUGUGCGACCACUCCUGGCUCAUUUUGUUCAACAUUAUUUUGUUACAACAUUGAUGAAGAAAAAAAUCUAUUUCUGGCUGGGGCUACUGUCUGUGUGGAGUCUGUAGAGGACUUUCUCUGGGUACUCUGGUUUCUUCCCCCAUCCCAAAGAUGUGCAUGUUAGAUUAACUAGCUUGUCUGCAUGCUCCCAGUCUGCAUGAGUGUGAGUGUACUCAAGGCAAUGGCAUCCUGUCUAGGCCUGGUUCCCGCCUGGCGCCCUGAGCUGCUGGGAUAGGCUCCAGCCAUCCAUGACCUUGAACUGGAAUAACUGGAUAAAUAAUUCUAUUACUUGUUUUUAUUAAUCUUUCUUUCUUUCUUUUUUUUUUUUUUUUUUGAGAUGGAGUUUCACUCUUGUUGCCCACGCUGGAGUGCAAUGACACAAUCUUGGCUCACUGCAACCUCCGCCUCCUGGAUUCAAGAAAUUCUCCUGCCUCAGCCUCCUGAGCAGCUGGGAUUACAGGUGCCCACCACCAAGCCCGGCUAAUUUUUGUAUUUUUAGGAGAGACAGGGUUUCGCCAUGUUGGCCAGGCUGGUCUCAAAUCCCUGACCUCAGGUGAUCCACCUUCCCCAGCCUCCCAAAGUGCUGGGAUUACAGGUGUGAGCCACCACACCUGGCCUUGUUUCUAUUAGUCUUUCUUACACGUGUUUCAAUGUUUAAUAUGAGAAGCAUUUGGGUCUUUAUUUAGAAGUCUGAUGAUAUUUCUAUCACCAGAAAUAUGCUGUAGGAACUUAACUCUUGUUUAUGUCAAUUAGCCUAUGACAAAAUUGGUUUCCUUGUAUGUCAUUUUGCUUAAAGCUGCAAUUUCCAAGAACUACAUUAAGUGAGGACAUUAUAUAAAGACUUACUAUAUUCUAUUAGUUGUUGUCAGGCCUCUGAGCUCAAGCUAAGCCAUCAUAUCCCUUGUGACCUGCACCUAUACAUCCAGAUGGCCUGGAGCAACUGAAGAUCCAC